This 106-nucleotide small RNA is filed under the name uncultured Glaciecola sp. RNAcentral's name for it is "t44 RNA". It matches the Rfam family "t44 RNA". From Rfam's summary of the family: This family consists of a number of bacterial RNA genes of between 135 and 170 bases in length. The t44 gene is found between the map and rpsB genes in all species in the full alignment apart from Shigella flexneri. The record is from RNAcentral. Lineage: Bacteria; Pseudomonadati; Pseudomonadota; Gammaproteobacteria; Alteromonadales; Alteromonadaceae.
CUAAUUAAAACACACAUACAUCGACACUGACCUCGGGGUGUCCAAGUUAAUAGCUGCUAAGGCAAUGUUAAUGCGGAUCGAGCGAAGGGAUGUAUGGAGGCCUAAC